RNAcentral lists this ribosomal RNA (215 nucleotides) under uncultured Isochrysis. RNAcentral's name for it is "partial Eukaryotic large subunit ribosomal RNA". It matches the Rfam family "Eukaryotic large subunit ribosomal RNA", at positions 102 to 313 of the family's 3401-position model. The record is from RNAcentral. Lineage: Eukaryota; Haptophyta; Isochrysidales.
GAAGAGCUCAACUUGAAAAUCUGGGUCGUUGUACGGCUCCGAAUUGUAGUCUAAAGAAACGCAGCCAUCGGCCGACGCGAGACAAGUCCCUUGGAAAAGGGCGCCCCAGAGGGUGACAGUCCCGUACAUGCUUGCGUGGGUCCGUCUACGGCGUGUUUUCGACGAGUCGAGUUGCUUGGGAUUGCAGCUCAAAGCGGGUGGUAAAUUCCAUCUAA